RNA transcript from Andrographis paniculata, 2307 nucleotides. RefSeq lists it as uncharacterized. The transcript has 4 exons. The record is from RefSeq and is a predicted model, not a curated record. NCBI's taxonomy places the organism in Eukaryota, Viridiplantae, Streptophyta, Magnoliopsida, Lamiales, Acanthaceae.
ACGAUUAUACGCAUCAAAUUUGUUCAUGGGCGAAGGAAGCAAACCCUAGAUCACAAAAUUGAAAUUCGAAACUCUGUUGUAAGGCAGCAUCAGUGAUCAAAAAUACCUAAUUGCUGUUUGCGUGGUGGUGGAUUAUCCCUCAAUUUGAAGAAAAAGAAUUCUGAUAUUUGCCGUAGAGAUUGCUGAUCAUGAGGUUCAAAAAGGGAGAUACAGUGGAGGUUAUGGACAGUAGGGAGAUGCCAGUUUCAUGGCAUAUCAGAGAGGUUGUAAGCAGCGGUGUUUAUACAUAUCGUGUGCGCUGUGUGUCUAAUGGUCAAAUCAUAGAGACGGUUCCAUUGAAGUCUGUGAGGCCAUUGCCUCCUCCGGUGCAAGGUCUCGAGAAUUGCAGUGCUGGAGACAUUGUGGAGUUGUUUCAUGAAAAUUCAUGGAAGCCUGCUGUUAUCUUGAAGAUAAUGGAAAAGAAAGAAGGAAAUAGGAGGAAGAUCCAUCUGCUCGAUGAAACAUUCCGAAAGUGGUAUUUAAUAAGGCUGCUUGGGAGCUCGCACGAAUUAGUUGUUAACAGGCGGAAUCUCAGAAUUAGACAGGCCUGGUGUGGGGGCAAAUGGAUUGUAAUGGGGAAGGGUUCUGAAGCAGAGAAGGAAGUGGUGGCCAGCAAACCAUCAACAUCAAAUUGUUAUCGAAAGAAGAUUUUCCAAGCAUCUCAACAAAUUGCAAGGGCUGAAUAUCAAUCCAAAAGGUAUUUCAAAGACAAUCAAGACGAUGCAAUGCUGGGGGAGUCUUCUCUGGUCUCAUCAAGAUCCCUAAAGAGGAGAAAUUCACGUUCCACUGUUGUCGAAGCACAAAAUGGACGGGCCCAAAAGUUAAGGGCAAUUGAGAAAGAAGGCAUGAAGCAGAGAGUGCCUUCUGCCCCAUUGUAUGAAAAGGUAGAUGUUGUUGGUUACUCAAAAGAAAUUUUGGGUGAAACGGACAUACUUGCUUCCCAUAACAACUUUACAUCUAAUGGGCAUAAUCAAAUGGAGCGGAUAAAGCAAAAUGAUGUACCUGGCUAUAAUUUGGUGAGAAGCUCUGAACUAAAUAAUUCUGACAGCGAUGCUUCUUCUGUUGGCAGCUGUAGUCUUACGAAACAAAGUCCAGGAAAUUAUUAUGGUCAGUUUAGAUCUACAUAUUACCAAGAAACAGACACCUCUUGUAGUGAUGCCGAGUCAUCUAAUGGCAGAGAAACUUCAUCACUUCCUCCAAAAGAGGUAUUCGAGGUCAGUAUGCUUCAUAGGCUAGAGCUGCAUGCUUAUCGCUGCACUCUUGAAGCUUUGUAUGCUUCUGGUACCUUAAGUUGGGAGCAGGAAUCAUUGUUGACUGAUCUUCGUAUUACGCUUCACAUUUCAAAUGACGAACAUUUGCAGGAGCUGAGGCACUUAAUUUCACGUAAAACUUCUCUUGCUGGUAGAUCAUAGCGAAAGGGUGUUCUUGUUAUCGUGCAUUUCAGCAUUUCUCUCAUUCACAGAUUAACAUAUUACUUUUUUAUAUUCCAUAAGUGUACGAAAGAAGCAUGAAUUGUACACUGUAGGUCUCAUCUCAGUUAUUUAUGUGCAGAUAGCACUUUUGUAAACUACAGGAUACAUGUAUCAUACUCUCUUUCUUUAAUUGAUGUGGACAGUUUUUUGAAGAAAUGGUUGUGUAUUAAUUCAGAUUCAUUGUGUAGUAUCCUGAAAUAGAAUACAAUACGCACAUCUGAUUCAUAACUUAGUUUGCUUGAAUGCUAAUGUUAGGAAACUAAUACAGGCAUGUGAUACUUUUUCUAUUGCUAUGCUUAAGCUUUUCGGGAGCGCAUUGAAUGUAUUUAGGAUCAUUUAUUUAUUUACUUAUUGGUAUUUGGAGGAUGCGAUUGAUCAUAGCUGUUCUGUUCCAGAGCUAAGGUUGGACGCACGUUGGUUUGUUGAUUCAAUGAUGAUUCCAGGGCUUGCUGCCUUUCAUUUGGCACUGAACUUUGGAUGAUUGUUUCGAACAGAUGCCGAGCCCUGGUAUCAUGCAUUUUAAUCUACAAUAUAUUUUCUAUUUGUGUUUUCGAAAUUUACUCCAGGCUUAACAGGAUGGAAGGAUGGAUGCAUCAACAUCCGGUACUACAGGAAGAGGAGACAUUAUCACAAGCAGCGGAGCUCGAAAGCCAUUUCCGGCAGAGCCAACAGAGAGUGUAAGGAGCUGCUGCAUAAGUUACAUAUUUUUACCCUUUUUAGCAACAAGUAUAGAUAAACGAACUUAUUUUAACCUUGUAAAGUUAAAUUAUUUGGUAUUAUAAUUCAUUACAGCCAA